UACGUAGGGUGCGAGCGUUGUCCGGAAUUACUGGGCGUAAAGAGCUCGUAGGCGGUCUGUUGCGUCCGCUGUGAAAACUCGGGGCUUAACCCCGAGCCUGCAGUGGAUACGGGCAGACUAGAGGUAGGUAGGGGAGAAUGGAAUUCCCGGUGUAGCGGUGAAAUGCGUAGAUAUCGAGAGGAACACCAGUGGCGAAGGCGAGUCCCUGGACAACACCUGACACUGAGGCACGAAAGCUAGGGGAGCAAACAGG
RNAcentral lists this ribosomal RNA (253 nucleotides) under uncultured bacterium. RNAcentral describes it as "partial 16S ribosomal RNA". It matches the Rfam family "Bacterial small subunit ribosomal RNA", at positions 524 to 776 of the family's 1533-position model. The record is from RNAcentral.